This 97-nucleotide non-coding RNA is filed under the name bovine gut metagenome. Its description in RNAcentral is "Pyrrolysine insertion sequence mttB". It matches the Rfam family "Pyrrolysine insertion sequence mttB". The record is from RNAcentral.
UAGGCGGACAGCAAACUGAUCGACGCCCAAAUCGGUCACGAAAAGACGCUGACCAGUGUGCUGCCGCAUCUCGCCGGCUGCAACAUCCUUUACGGCA